Molecule: transfer RNA, 64 nt
Filed under: Heterocephalus glaber (naked mole-rat)
Lineage: Eukaryota; Metazoa; Chordata; Mammalia; Rodentia; Bathyergidae
Rfam family: tRNA
About the family: Transfer RNA (tRNA) molecules are approximately 80 nucleotides in length. Their secondary structure includes four short double-helical elements and three loops (D, anti-codon, and T loops).
Source: Rfam by way of RNAcentral
GGGGAUUUAGCUCAGUGGUUUGGGCGCCUGCCUCCCAAGCACAAGGUCCCAAAUUCAAUCCCCA